UGCAUCUCAAAAAAUAAAAUAAAAUAAGUGCAGAACAUCCUCACUUAAAGGUAUAAACUAUGUUACAUAAUUUUAUAUUUAUGAUUAAAUUUAAUAAUUUUAAAUUGCUUUAAUGAUUUAAACUUUAUAUUGAACAUUAAUUCUAAUUGCACAAGAUGGCAUAUGGAAUAUAGAUCACUUCUCUUCAAAUAACUAACGUUAAUCUGGGUGCUCUCAGAAGCAGAUGUCAAGACAGCAUUAAAUGGUUAAGUAUUUUAAUGCUGGUGUAAAGUGAAAUGGCUGUGUUAAUAAAAAACAGGGAGGGAGCUAGAGAAGGCUGGGAGACAGAUUAGACCAGGAUGCAACUCUGAUCAUAGGCGAAGGACAGAAGAAAAGAUUGGAUAGUGGAAGAUUGAGUGGCAGCUGUCUACACUGCAGCACAGUCAACAGGAGGUUCAGCAAAGCCAUUGUUGAGUUCUGGAGCUAAAGUUGGCUAACAAAGGAAUUCUUUGUCUUCUUAGGAACUGUUCUGCCUUCCCAUUUCCACAAAAACUAGUCAUCAGCAAGAAGCUGCCUGUGGGGUGCACGUUCUCAGGUCAAAUGUUUCCUCUUCUAUAAAAUGAAGAUAAUAGUACCCCACUGAAGGGUCAACAUGAGGAUUAAGGAGACAUCAUUUGAAAUGGAGCCUGAUAUACAACUUAGAAGCAACUUGAGGCAGGAUGGGAGCAUAAAAGACAGCCAGAAUGCCAAAGUCUCCGAGCAGUGAGUAGGAGUCUAAGAAGUUGGAAAGAUUCAUGGACCUCUUCCAGUAUGUGAAAGCCACAACUGUGGAGCAAAUGGGAAAGCAGCAAUGUGGGAACGGAUUAAUACACAGAGCAUCUAGAGAGAAAUAUCCAGCAAUCAGUUGGAGCUGAAAGGCCCAAGAAGGAGAGGGAAUAGAAGGAUGACGUACCUAUUUGGAUGGAAUUCACAUAUAGGAGGAAUCCAAAAAAGUGUCUGUAGAGAUAAAAAGUUGCUUGACUCUGAAGAUUCUGAACUGCCCCAACCUAUGUCCAUGAAGGAUUGUAAAGAGCCCUCAAUUCACCUGUGCUCUCCCAAGAGAGAGCUAGCAUGUUAUGGGGUGGUGGCAACCCACCAUUUUUAGCACCAACUGCUGAAAGAUAGAAAAUAAAAGAAUUGAGGAUUCUUAGAAGACAGAAGACUUGAAGGUGACCAUGUAAGGCUUAUUCUAUAG
Nomascus leucogenys (northern white-cheeked gibbon) is the source of this 1213-nucleotide long non-coding RNA. RefSeq lists it as uncharacterized. The transcript is spliced from 5 exons. Lineage: Eukaryota; Metazoa; Chordata; Mammalia; Primates; Hylobatidae. The record is from RefSeq and is a predicted model, not a curated record.